Brachypodium distachyon (stiff brome) is the source of this 2069-nucleotide long non-coding RNA. RefSeq lists it as uncharacterized. The transcript has 3 exons. The record is from RefSeq and is a predicted model, not a curated record. Lineage: Eukaryota; Viridiplantae; Streptophyta; Magnoliopsida; Poales; Poaceae.
AGUUGUUUGUCGUGCCACUAUCGUUUCUUAAUUUCCAGUUGCGUUAGUCCGCCGUAGGUUCGUCCUCACCCCCGAGCGAAAAAGCAGCAACCGAUCCCCACGGGAUACCCAAAUCAAUCAAUCAAUCAGUGCCGCGAUUGACUCCAGCGCUCGCCCAGAAAAACCAUCGUACAACAAACCAUCGUAACGCACUCCCGAUUAUCUCCAAUCCCGUGAUUAUCUCCAGGAAUCGAGCCGCCCGCGUCUCCAGAGACCGUGAUCGCCGCCUUGACUCAAGCCGCCGCACAAGCAACCGCCUCCUCAGAUCGAUGCCGGCGCCUCCAUCCUCCUACAACCGCUCGCCGUCGACCUCGACAACGCCCCUCGGCGCCACCUCACAGGAAUCACCUCGACGUCGCCACUAGCCGCCACCUCACGGGAAUCACGUCCAUGUACGGGAAUCGCCACCGCCAUCGACCUCGAUCCGGCCACCGCCCCGCCGGCUGCUGCUACAUUGCCUGCGCCACGCCGGCCGUUGCUGUAUUGUAUCGCUGGGCAGAAGGGUCUCCGUGGGCAGUUCCGUAUUCGAGCCCGUCUCACGCUCGAGGGCGGCUGUCGGAUCAGGAAUCGACAUGGGAGGCAAGCAGGGGACGCAGCAUACGUGACACGCACGUGUUUCUCACGGUGGGCCAAUCGACAUGGGAAGCAAGCAGGUCUCAAGCGCCCCGCGCCCGGGAGCAGCGUGCAUGCACAUGGAGGCACGGCUGUGCUGAUUGCACAAAACGUGUUUGACGAAAUGGCUCAAGGGUGCUGUGUUCACAAGAAAUGCUGUGCAGGACGCCCAUGUGUGGAUGAAUCUCCUGGUCUGCAAUUUGUAUGUUUCCUUUGAUCAUAUCAGAAUUCAAAGGUUUUUCCAUCCAGGUAAGCUAUGUGACCCUUGCUAGCUCGUGUUGGUUCCUAGACAUUAAUCUUGUUUAAACUAGCUAAGCUAAACAUUUCAAGAUUGAUUUAGUUACAUUUCAGAUAAAGUGGUUCCAUCGUGCUUGCCGUUCCAAGGAGCAUGCUUGCCGUUCCAGCUUGCCGCAACCAAAAGGCUCGCCGGAAUACUUGCCACAUGCUACAACUUAUCCAAUCUUAAGUAGUUCACAGUUGCAUCGAGUAGACUUCUCCAGCUGUUCUUCCUGCAUCCAUGGUAUGUGCCUCUUUCAAAUCUCCACUACCACUUGUAUAACUAGCUGAUUUCACUCAGCUCACAAAUCAAAACUUCAGAUUUUUAUUCAUCAGUAGUGUCAAGUGUGCUUGAAACUACUAGCGAUAUCAUAUAAGAGUGCUUGGGAAUAAUUUCAGGAAAAAAUAUAGUUUUUGUUGGCUAGGAGGUGCCUGCAGGAGCAAAGACAUUGGUACUCUAUAAAGUGUAUCUUCUGCAUCUUGGCUUAAACACUUGCCAACAUAUAUGAAAUGUAAUGGCAACACUAAACACAAUGUGAUGUGUCUUGAGCAAAUCAUCAAUGAGCAUGACCAAAGCUGGUGAGCUUGAUGGAGGAGCUCGGCCAAGAGAGGUGUACCUUGUGUGUCAUAUCUCAAAAAAUCAUAUACCGAGAUGUCUUGCAGGAUCUCACUAACAGGUACAAUUAAUUAUUGAUUGAGCCGUAUUGCAUAAAUGCCUACAUACUAAUCAUAAUCUCCAGGAUGCCUGUAAUCUACCUUCUGUGAUUCUAUCCUAUUAUACAGAACAUGUACCAAACUAUGCCAGUUGUUAACAUGAAGUCAUGUUCUUGUUUCUUCAGUCUCUCUUUCUUUCCUAAAAAAGUUGUGUACUCUGGCAUAUCUUAUAUUUGGUGAGAAGAUCAUUUGGUAGAAAUGAGGGGCUUGAAGAUACCAAUGGGAGGCUGUAGAGAAUGGCCACGUUGUUCUUGUAGGCUGCUAGUGAAGGUUUGCUCCUACCAUUUCAUCAGCUAAUAGAUGUGGUCCCAAUUGUUUUUAUCAUCAAUACUCAGGAUCUUUGUUUCCAAUUUGCCUCUCAGGCAUAUUUUUUAUUGUAAUAUAACUACUUGAACAAGCUUGCCUUAUUAAUAGAUUGGUCCGGUUUA